CGAGGGACCUCGCUUCCCCUUGCCCUCGGCAGCCGGUGCGCGCGCGCGCGCGCUGCUUUCCCCUCCCCCCUCCCCCCGUCUCCUCGCUCUACGGGCGGGGGCGCGGGCUCCCCCCUCCCCCGCGCGGCAGGUGCCCGCGCGGACUCUCCCCCCCGUCGUCCGGCCGCGGCGGCGGUUGCCGCGCGCUCGCGCGGGUAACGGCCCGCUCAGUUGUCCCCCGCCCCCCCAUCUUUCGGGCACGGCAGAAGGAGCCCGUUCUGCGGAGGGUGCGCCAGCAGGGCAACGGGAGACAGGCCUUGGGGUCUCCCCGCCGUGGCAAGGCUCGGAGCGUACUCGCUAACUGCCUAAACCUUUCCCCAUGGAGAGCCCUGGAAAUGCCGUGGGCGUCAGCUGGGGACUGGGUUCGCGCCCUCCUCACUGGAGGGGCCCCAGUGUUGCUGCAGCCCGGUGCACAUAGGUAGACCUAGCCUUGCUGGCCCCUGGAUAUGCACUGGUCUGCGACGGAGUUUUGGAGGAAAGAACAACGCAGUUCUCACAGGCCGUGGAGUGACCCAGCUGGGUGAAAGGGGAAGGCAUUCACUUGAGCCGGUCAGUCAUUUCUGUAACUGCAGACGUAGCCUCUGCAAACCAUAGUGGCCCAUUCUGGCAACAGAGAACAAAGGACAGAUGGUAUCUACCCAGGCAGUGAUUCAUACAGAUGAAAUAUAAGGGGAAGAAAGAAUAUUAGGAGCAUCUGCAUCAAAUCUGUGUCCAUAGAUGACAUCCAUGAAUAGCACAUACUGUUAAUUUAGUUUUAUUAAAUUAAAAAAUGAGUCAGUUGCAGCGGUGGCUGUGAUUUGUUAUGUCUGAGAAGAUCAGACUACUGAUUAAAGCACUACACUGUGA
Long non-coding RNA from Dromaius novaehollandiae (emu), 885 nucleotides. RefSeq lists it as uncharacterized. The transcript is spliced from 3 exons. Lineage: Eukaryota; Metazoa; Chordata; Aves; Casuariiformes; Dromaiidae. The record is from RefSeq and is a predicted model, not a curated record.